UCCAGUGACAUGCGACAAUGCCCCGGUACGGCAACGAUGGUGCAGGAAGCCGGUGUAAAUCCGGCACGGUCCCGCCACUGUGAUCGGGGAGCGACCCUCAACAGCCACGGCUCUCAACAGAGCUGGAAGGCGAGGCGAGCGUUGAUCCGAGAGUCAGGACACUCACAUCGUCGCAUCCUUCGAC
RNAcentral lists this non-coding RNA (184 nucleotides) under Mycobacterium sp. The record is from RNAcentral. Lineage: Bacteria; Bacillati; Actinomycetota; Actinomycetes; Mycobacteriales; Mycobacteriaceae.